ACAGUGUUUCCAGUGUCAACGAAUCAAUGCCAGUGGGGUUUGCGAGACUGGGGAAAGUGUCUGCCAGGCUAAAGGCAACCAGCAGUGCUUUCUGAGGAAGGUCUAUAAAGAUGCCAUCCUUUCAUAUGGAUAUCAAGGUUGUAGCAGUGUGUGUUCCCCUAUGACAAUCUUUUAUAUGGAUGUUGCUUUGGAGGAUAAAUGUUGCAAUGACUCACCUUUCUGCAACAAGUUCUAAAGAUGGAGCCCAGCGUUGCCCUGACCUGAUGGAUGAAGCUGAUUGAACACACUUUUCAACUCUCAGGAUCCUUACAACUAUUGUGCACUGACUAUGGGCUCCCUAUAAGGAGAAGUCAUAAGCUAGUUCUGUGCCAGGUCCAAUCACCCUUUUCUCUCCCUCAUUGUGAGAUGCUACCGGGAGAGUCUUUAAAAUCCAAUUGGUGUGAGGAGUGGUGGGCAUGGGUAGGUCCAAGCAUGCCUUCUUCCUUUCAAGGCCCUAAUCACGAGUCAUGCUUAUUUUCAUUUUAAAAAGGCAGGGUUUGUGGGAGACUGUGGGUUCUGUCAUUCUGGGUGUUGUGGAGGCAGCUAGCUGAAGGAAGAAGGAGAGUCCUCAGAAGCUGAAGAGCAUAAGGAAUGAGUUGGCUGUAAAUGAUGUAUGAGUUGGAGGGGGCAAGCUGUAACAAAAAUCUCUGAAAUGUUGGUGUCUUAAAAUAAUAAUGAAAAAUAAUAAAAAAAAGAUUGCUAACCCA
Molecule: long non-coding RNA, 746 nt
Organism: Leptonychotes weddellii (Weddell seal)
Lineage: Eukaryota; Metazoa; Chordata; Mammalia; Carnivora; Phocidae
Source: RefSeq, a predicted model, not a curated record